UUGACAGCCCUGCAGGGUAAAUUCUGCUGAUUCUCCUUCCCAAUGUUACAGCAUAAGCAGCUGUGUAAGCUUUCCUUUGGUGCCUCAUUCUCAAUAUGCCUCAAACCUGAGCUGAAAGGAUCGCCUCCAAAGGUGAGGGGAACCCAGUUUCCAUGGCCCAUUCAGUCCUUGACUAUU
Unclassified non-coding RNA from Chelonoidis abingdonii (Abingdon island giant tortoise), 177 nucleotides. NCBI's taxonomy places the organism in Eukaryota, Metazoa, Chordata, Testudines, Testudinidae. The record is from Ensembl.